This 619-nucleotide ribosomal RNA is filed under the name Microbacterium sp. EECC-219. Its description in RNAcentral is "bacterial SSU rRNA". It matches the Rfam family "Bacterial small subunit ribosomal RNA", at positions 100 to 732 of the family's 1533-position model. The record is from RNAcentral. Lineage: Bacteria; Bacillati; Actinomycetota; Actinomycetes; Micrococcales; Microbacteriaceae.
CGACGGGUGAGUAACACGUGAGCAAUCUGCCCCUGACUCUGGGAUAAGCGCUGGAAACGGCGUCUAAUACUGGAUACGAACCGUGGAGGCAUCUUCAACGGUUGGAAAGAUUUUUUGGUCAGGGAUGAGCUCGCGGCCUAUCAGCUUGUUGGUGAGGUAAUGGCUCACCAAGGCGUCGACGGGUAGCCGGCCUGAGAGGGUGACCGGCCACACUGGGACUGAGACACGGCCCAGACUCCUACGGGAGGCAGCAGUGGGGAAUAUUGCACAAUGGGCGAAAGCCUGAUGCAGCAACGCCGCGUGAGGGAUGACGGCCUUCGGGUUGUAAACCUCUUUUAGCAGGGAAGAAGCGUGAGUGACGGUACCUGCAGAAAAAGCGCCGGCUAACUACGUGCCAGCAGCCGCGGUAAUACGUAGGGCGCAAGCGUUAUCCGGAAUUAUUGGGCGUAAAGAGCUCGUAGGCGGUUUGUCGCGUCUGCUGUGAAAUCCCGAGGCUCAACCUCGGGUCUGCAGUGGGUACGGGCAGACUAGAGUGCGGUAGGGGAGAUUGGAAUUCCUGGUGUAGCGGUGGAAUGCGCAGAUAUCAGGAGGAACACCGAUGGCGAAGGCAGAUCUCUGG